UCUCCGUAGGUGAACCUGCGGAGGGAUCAUUACAGAGUUCAUGCCCUACCGGGUAGAUCUCCCACCCUAUGUUAUUAUUACUUUGUUGCUUUGGCGGGCCGUUAGGCUCCGGCCCGACUACCGGCCCCGGCUGGUAAGCGCCCGCCAGAGGACCCAAAACUCUUAUUAUUAAUGUCGUCUGAGUACUAUAUAAUAGUUAAAACUUUCAACAACGGAUCUCUUGGUUCUG
This 229-nucleotide unclassified non-coding RNA is filed under the name plant metagenome. RNAcentral's name for it is "partial contains small subunit ribosomal RNA, internal transcribed spacer 1, and 5.8S ribosomal RNA". The record is from RNAcentral.